CCCCUCAGGCCCUCAGACUGCAUGCCAGCAGCCUCUCCAUCUCUCUGCUUCCCUCUCCCCUUGUUUCCACUCACUCAUACUUUGUUUGCCACAUUCUGUCCAGAUUCUCCAUCACGUCCCGGAAUGCAAUGAGUAAGAGACGGCCCUGGAUGUGAGCCCCAUCGCCAUGGUGACUGGGACCAUCGAUUUCUAGUGUCAUCUUCCCCUCAUGCUGAAGCUUCACGAGGACAGGGCCCUGGCCUGGCUCCUUCCCUCUGUAGCCCUAGAGCCCAGAACAGAGCUUCGCUCAUGGAGCAGACACCAAAAAUACGGGUGGAAAAUAAGAGCAACCCCUGCAGCUGUCCCCCUCCCACCCCAAAACCAGCAAAGCCGGUGACAGAGGAGCCUGCUUUUCAUGCAGACACAGACAGACAGACUGACGGAGCAGCUGGCAGACCGGGAGACGGUGAGAAACAGGUUCCGAAAGCUUUCUGGCUGCCGGUACUUAACACCCAGAGCUAUUCUCAAUGCUAGUCACAGACAUCUUGAACCGCAUUAGAAUAAACAGAAUUCUGAAUUAUCUCCUCAGCAGUACAUGAAAUAACUGUCUGUCACCCAAAAGGAGAAGCAGAGGAUGAUGAAUUUCUAAGAUGUUGGAUUUCUAAUGGAGGUUUGCCUGGAUAUGACUGCCAAUAGGGCUGGCCAUUUGGCUUGUACUCGACAUCAUUGACGUGAGCACUGAGAUACAAGGGGGCAGUGAUCCGUCCCCCCGAGUGUGUUCCUGCACUCAUGGAGAAAGCUAUCAGAAGAACCCAGAGCAGGUAGAGGAAAUGUCUUCCUCCCCUACAACUCACUGCCUUCGUUCAAGGUACUGAGCUCCUGCCACAUGCUGGGGACUGCGUGUGGAGGAGGAUGCUCAAACCACGCAGAAGAGCGACACAUGGCUCCUGCCUUCUUGGAGUUCAAGGUCUGCGGGACAGAAGGCCGUCAAGACCAGGGGCUCUCAUACCACAUGCUGCAGGAUUGUGCCCAGGGCACUCCGCCCCCUGGGAGGGCAGAGGGGCAGUGACUCCUGUCAGGCUCUGUGGAGAGUUCCCUCCUCAUGUUUCCUUUUGUGACAGCCACUAACCAUCCACAGUCACACCUACCUAUAAAGAAGGACCGAUCUCUCCAGUCUGUGGGUGGCCCUGUGGGGUGACAUUGCCAGUUGCAUCUGUCGCGGGGCUGUCUAGAUGAUGUUUGUCAGGCACCUUGUGAUGCCCAGAGAUCAGCCACUACAGGGUUCAUGCUCCCACUUUCAAGCUGCUGGGAAAAAAGAAUGUCACGUGAGUCCCUCUGACCUGUCCUCUCAGAAUCGUCAGCUCUUCCAGUGAGAACACUCAUUCCUCGUGUUCUCUGAACAGCACAGCCAAGGACUCGAGUCACCAUUUCCAAACAGGAACAAGAAGAAUGCAAAUUCCUUAGCUUAAAAAUAUAUACAAAGCAGCCGAUUCCGUGUGAGCAGGGACCCGUGGUUUUCAUUGGUUGUCCGUGCUUGGAGAAGGAUCGCUGUGUCCAAGUUGAAAAAGAAUUCCUGCGGCUUUGAUAUUUGGAGCAAGUGUCCAAAGCCUGGUGUGUCUGCCUGGGUUUCCUCUGCACACCGCAGCUGGAGUCCACAUUAAAGGCCCUCUCCUGUUUGCUAUGAAAGAUGUUUAAUUGAAAGGCGCUUCCUCCCGCUUUGGGGAGCCUCAUUUCUCAGCACCAGGUUUACACGUGAAUUCUGGGAUGACUGGUCAACAAGGGAGAUGGCGUGGAAUUAGCGCAGAUGGAAGAAGAGUUUGGGAACUUGCUGGAAGAGGCCACGAGAGUCUCUGUAUCACCUUCAAUCAGGGCUAAGGCUUCGUGACACAUUCACACGGACAUGUGAUCGGGGUGGCAUUCACUAGUGGUGACACAUGCCAGCUCCUUGCCCAGCACUUCAGCUCAUCUCCCUACCACCUAGCCCCUCACUGCCAACAGUCUGAUUCCGUGGCCUUCUUCCUCUUCCAGGAACAUGGUAACUCUCUCCCUCCAGUUAGCCUCAGGACAUUUGUACGUACUGCUCCCACUGCCUGGAAGGCUCUUCCUUGGCUCUUUGCCCGUUUGGUCCCCUCCUAUUCUUGCCUCUCCGUAAACGUCAUCUCCUCAGAGUGCUCCCCUGACCAUCAGAUUUGAAGUAGCCCUCCUCACCCUGCCUGAAAGUCCCACCAAUUCCCUUCACAGUACGACCAGAGCCAUUGCUAUCCUGUGCAUUUGUGUGUUUACGUGUUGACUAGCCAUUCCCUCCUCUGGGAUGUUCACUCCCUGAGGGCGAGGCCACUUGUCUUAUUCACCACUGUGCCCUGUGGCGCCUGCUGAACGAAUGCAUGGACGAGUGAACCCUUCCAGAUCCAGGGUUCGAGGGGCUCUAAAUUAAAAUUCAAAAAGAAUACAAAUUACGCAUACACAAUGAGUUAGGAAAGGGGUUCAUUUAAAUUCUAAAAAGUUGAUAUAUCUCAAAAUCACAAAAUCUAUAAAAUUAAUGAAUAUGUUUAUUCAUUAGUUA
Equus caballus (horse) is the source of this 2542-nucleotide long non-coding RNA. RefSeq lists it as uncharacterized. NCBI's taxonomy places the organism in Eukaryota, Metazoa, Chordata, Mammalia, Perissodactyla, Equidae. The record is from RefSeq and is a predicted model, not a curated record.